Transfer RNA from Hebeloma cylindrosporum, 97 nucleotides. It matches the Rfam family "tRNA". Rfam says of the family: Transfer RNA (tRNA) molecules are approximately 80 nucleotides in length. NCBI's taxonomy places the organism in Eukaryota, Fungi, Basidiomycota, Agaricomycetes, Agaricales, Hymenogastraceae. The record is from Rfam.
GCCAACGUAGCACAAUGGUAGUGCGUUGCUUUCCUAUCUCCUGUCACAUUGCUAGGGUAUAAGGCAGAGGCUGUGGGUUCGAGUCCCAUCGUUGGUU